AGGUCAAGCUACAAAGGGCGCAUGGUGAAUGCCUUGGCAUCAGGAGCCGAUGAAGGACGUGAUAAGCUGCGAUAAGCUUCGGGUAGGCGCACAUAGCCAGAGAUCCGGAGAUUUCCGAAUGGGGAAACCCGCAUGAGAAACCUCAUGCAUCGUAAAGUGAAUACAUAGCUUUAUGAAGGAACACCUAGGGAACUGAAACAUCUAAGUACCUAGAGGAAGAGAAAGAAAAAUCGAUUUUCUUAGUAGCGGCGAGCGAAAAGGAAAGAGCCCAAACCAGAGAUUUAUCUCUGGGGUUGCGGACAGAACAUAACGUGAAAUUAUGAUUAACCGAACACAACUGGAAAGUUGGACCGUAGGAGGUAAUAGUCCUGUAAGUAAAAGUCAUAAUGAUCAGUUCUGCACCAGAGUACCACGAGACACGUGAAACCUUGUGGGAAGCAGGGAGGACCACCUCCCAAGGCUAAAUACUACCUGAUGACCGAUAGUGAAGCAGUACCGUGAGGGAAAGGUGAAAAGAACCCCGGGAGGGGAGUGAAAUAGAACCUGAAACCAUGUGCCUACAACCGAUCAAAGCACCUUAUGUGUGUGAUGAUGUGCUUUUUGUAGAACGAGCCAACGAGUUACGGUAUGUAGCGAGGUUAAGUACUUAAGGUACGGAGCCGAAGGGAAACCGAGUCUUAAUAGGGCGACUAGUUGCAUGCUGUAGACCCGAAACCGGG
RNAcentral lists this ribosomal RNA (719 nucleotides) under Clostridium sp. HMSC19A10. RNAcentral describes it as "bacterial LSU rRNA". It matches the Rfam family "Bacterial large subunit ribosomal RNA", at positions 1 to 725 of the family's 2925-position model. The record is from RNAcentral. Lineage: Bacteria; Bacillati; Bacillota; Clostridia; Eubacteriales; Clostridiaceae.